RNAcentral lists this ribosomal RNA (1400 nucleotides) under uncultured bacterium. RNAcentral describes it as "16S ribosomal RNA". It matches the Rfam family "Bacterial small subunit ribosomal RNA". The record is from RNAcentral.
AGAGUUUGAUUAUGGCUCAGGAUGAACGCUGGCGGCGUGCCUAACACAUGCAAGUCGAACGGAACUGAUACAGCCGAGAUUCGUCGAAGCAGUUGAAAGUUUAGUGGCGGACGGGUGAGUAACGCGUGGGUAACCUGCCUCGUAAGGGGGAUAACAGUUGGAAACGAUUGCUAUACCGAUAAGCCCACAGUACCGAUGGUACAGGGGAAAAGAUCCAUUGUCUAAGAGAUGGCCUCGCGUCCGAUUAGAUAGUUGGUGAGUGUAACGGCCCACCAAGUCGACGAUCGGUAGCCGGACUGAGAGGUUGAACCGGCCACAUUGGGACUGAGACACGGCCCAGACUCCUACGGGAGGCAGCAGUGGGGAAUAUUGCCACAAAUUGGAGGAAACUCCUGAUGCAGCGAUGCCGCGUGAGGUUGAAAGAAGGUUUUUUCGGAUUGUAAACCUCUGUUGGCAGGGACGAUAAUGACGGUACCUGCCAAGAAAGCUCCGGCUAACUACGUGCCAGCAGCCGCGGUAAUACGUAGGGAGCGAGCGUUAUCCGGAAUUACUGGGUGUAAAGGGAGCGUAGGCGGGACAGCAAGUCAGAUGUGAAAAUUAUGGGCUCAACCCAUAACCUGCAUUUGAAACUGUUGUUCUUGAGUGAAGUAGAAGUAAGCGGAAUUCCCGGUGUAGCGGUGAAAUGCGUAGAGAUCGGGAGGAACAUCAGUGGCGAAGGCGGCUUACCGGGCUUUUACUGACGCUGAGGCUCGAAAGCGUGGGGAGCAAACAGGAUUAGAUACCCUGGUAGUCCACGCCGUAAACGAUGAUUACUAGGUGUGGGGGGAUAGAACCUUCCGUGCCGCAGCUAACGCAAUAAGUAAUCCACCUGGGGAGUACGGCCGCAAGGCUGAAACUCAAAGGAAUUGACGGGGACCCGCACAAGCGGUGGAGCAUGUGGAUUUAAUUCGAAGCAACGCGAAGAACCUUACCAGGUCUUGACAUGCCGAUGACCGGUCAGUAACGUGACCUUCACUUCGGUGCAUCGGACACAGGUGGUGCAUGGUUGUCGUCAGCUCGUGUCGUGAGAUGUUGGGUUAAGUCCCGCAACGAGCGCAACCCUUGUCGCUAGUAACCAGCAGUAAGAUGGGGACUCUAGUGAGACUGCCCGGGACAACCGGGAGGAAGGCGGGGAUGACGUCAAAUCAUCAUGCCCCUUAUGACCUGGGCUACACACGUGCUACAAUGGCGUAAACAGAGGGAAGCAAUACUGCAAAGUGGAGCAAAACCGAUAAAAUACGUCUCAGUUCGGACUGUGGCCUGCAACCCGGCCACACGAAGCCGGAAUCGCUAGUAAUCGCAGAUCAGCAUGCUGCGGUGAAUACGUUCCCGGGUCUUGUACACACCGCCCGUCACACCAU